GCUGGGGAAAGAAAGGAGAUGGGGCAGCAGCAGGAGGACCAGAAUCUUCUUUGGGGUAAAAUACAGAAACUGUGAUCAGAGGAGAUCAGCCUGUUGGCUUGGGCUGCACCCAGUGGGCACCUGUCUGCAAUGUGGAUGAGGGAGGCUGCAGGGGGCUGGGCCAGUGAGGAGUCAAGUUCAGCAUGAAGAAGGAAGGUGUCGGUGCCUGAAGAUGUCUUGGAUGUAGCAUUUACCUAUAAGUGGGAAGAACGAUCAGAGUCAUCUGCAAGGUCAUGCUGGAAGGUCAACACUGAGCCUCUUUUCCCAGGAAGAUGGAGUAGACAUAUGUUUUUCCCUAUUUCUCCCACUGUGCACAAAUAGAAUCCCUGGACAUUAUAUAUAAAAUAUAUGAAAGAAGACUCUUAAAGAUGGAGAGAAGAAAAUAGACCUGCUAGGGGCCUCAGGACACAAGGAACAACAUGGUGGUGCCUGCAGAAAAUAUGCCAAGAUAGAUGAUACCCUGUGAGAUAAACCAAACCUCAACAAAUCUAAACGAAAUAAAAUCAUGUAGAGUCUAUUUUCCAACCACAAGGAUUCAAACCAGAAAGACUGCAAGGAAGAGAGACACAGUAGAAUUGCAGGAAAAUCUCCAAAUACAUUCUUAAAUAGUUCCUGGAUCAAAAAGGAAGUCUAAUGGAAAAUCAAAAAAUGCAUUGGAAAAUUUUUUAAAAUGCAUUGAAUUGAAUGGAAAUGAAAAUACAACAUUAUCAGCAUUUGUGGGACUGAGAUAUAGCAGCAUUGAGAGAGAAAUUAUAGCACUAAGAAAUUAAAAAAAAAAACCCAAAGCAAGUAGAAGGAACAAAA
This 843-nucleotide long non-coding RNA is filed under the name Equus caballus (horse). RNAcentral describes it as "lncRNA (ENSECAG00000058144.1)". Lineage: Eukaryota; Metazoa; Chordata; Mammalia; Perissodactyla; Equidae. The record is from RNAcentral.